AGAGUUUGAUCCUGGCUCAGAUUGAACGCUGGCGGCAUGCCUUACACAUGCAAGUCGAACGGCAGCACGGGAGCAAUCCUGGUGGCGAGUGGCGAACGGGUGAGUAAUAUAUCGGAACGUGCCCAGUCGUGGGGGAUAACGUAGCGAAAGCUACGCUAAUACCGCAUACGAUCUACGGAUGAAAGCGGGGGACUCGCAAGAGCCUCGCGCGAUUGGAGCGGCCGAUAUCAGAUUAGGUUGUUGGUGAGGUAAAAGCUCACCAAGCCUGCGAUCUGUAGCUGGUCUGAGAGGACGACCAGCCACACUGGAACUGAGACACGGUCCAGACUCCUACGGGAGGCAGCAGUGGGGAAUUUUGGACAAUGGACGAAAGUCUGAUCCAGCAAUGCCGCGUGUAGGACGAAGGCCUUCGGGUUGUAAACUGCUUUUGUACGGAACGAAACGGUCUGCUUUAAUACAGUGGGCUAAUGACGGUACCGUAAGAAUAAGCACCGGCUAACUACGUGCCAGCAGCCGCGGUAAUACGUAGGGUGCGAGCGUUAAUCGGAAUUACUGGGCGUAAAGCGUGCGCAGGCGGUUAUAUAAGACAGAUGUGAAAUCCCCGGGCUCAACCUGGGACCUGCAUUUGUGACUGUAUAGCUAGAGUACGGUAGAGGGGGAUGGAAUUCCGCGUGUAGCAGUGAAAUGCGUAGAUAUGCGGAGGAACACCGAUGGCGAAGGCAAUCCCCUGGACCUGUACUGACGCUCAUGCACGAAAGCGUGGGGAGCAGACAGGAUUAGAUACCCUGGUAGAAUCG
This 797-nucleotide ribosomal RNA is filed under the name uncultured Rhodoferax sp. RNAcentral describes it as "bacterial SSU rRNA". It matches the Rfam family "Bacterial small subunit ribosomal RNA", at positions 8 to 797 of the family's 1533-position model. The record is from RNAcentral. Lineage: Bacteria; Pseudomonadati; Pseudomonadota; Betaproteobacteria; Burkholderiales; Comamonadaceae.